This 492-nucleotide ribosomal RNA is filed under the name uncultured bacterium. Its description in RNAcentral is "partial 16S ribosomal RNA". It matches the Rfam family "Bacterial small subunit ribosomal RNA", at positions 29 to 507 of the family's 1533-position model. The record is from RNAcentral.
AGUGAACGCUGGCGGUAGGCCUAACACAUGCGAGUCGAACGGCAGCACAGUAAGAGCUUGCUCUUACGGGUGGCGAGUGGCGGACGGGUGAGGAAUACAUCGGAAUCUACCUUUUCGUGGGGGAUAACGUAGGGAAACUUACGCUAAUACCGCAUACGACCUACGGGUGAAAGCAGGGGAUCUUCGGACCUUGCGCGAUUGAAUGAGCCGAUGUCGGAUUAGCUAGUUGGCGGGGUAAAGGCCCACCAAGGCGACGAUCCGUAGCUGGUCUGAGAGGAUGAUCAGCCACACUGGAACUGAGACACGGUCCAGACUCCUACGGGAGGCAGCAGUGGGGAAUAUUGGACAAUGGGCGCAAGCCUGAUCCAGCCAUACCGCGUGGGUGAAGAAGGCCUUCGGGUUGUAAAGCCCUUUUGUUGGGAAAGAAAAGCAGCAGGUUAAUACCCCGCUGUUCUGACGGUACCCAAAGAAUAAGCACCGGCUAACUUCGUG